CGGAGUAGAGCAGCCCGGUAGCUCGCUUGGCUCAUAACCAAGAGGUCGCGCGGUCGGGCCUUGUCGU
RNAcentral lists this transfer RNA (67 nucleotides) under Rhizobium sp. BK379. RNAcentral describes it as "tRNA-Met". Lineage: Bacteria; Pseudomonadati; Pseudomonadota; Alphaproteobacteria; Hyphomicrobiales; Rhizobiaceae. The record is from RNAcentral.